Molecule: ribosomal RNA, 253 nt
Filed under: uncultured bacterium
Lineage: Bacteria
Description: partial 16S ribosomal RNA
Rfam family: Bacterial small subunit ribosomal RNA
Source: RNAcentral
UACAGAGGGGGCAAGCGUUGUUCGGAAUUACUGGGCGUAAAGGGCGCGUAGGCGGCCUUCUAAGUCGAACGUGAAAUCCCCGGGCUCAACCCGGGAACUGCGUCCGAUACUGGAAGGCUUGAAUCCGGGAGAGGGAUGCGGAAUUCCAGGUGUAGCGGUGAAAUGCGUAGAUAUCUGGAGGAACACCCGUGGCGAAAGCGGCGCGCUGGACCACUACUGACGCUGAGGAACGAAAGCUAGGGGAGCAAACAGG